AAUUGGAAAUGACAGAAAAACUUACCCCUCUUUAGAUGAUGAUGAGUUGGAGGAAGAAGAGGAGUGGGAAGUUGUGAGGUUUCCAGGUCUUCUAUUCAAGAGCCCACCUCAACAGCUUCAUUAUGUUGCUACCUUUCUGCCUCCCACCUACAAAGAUGAAGAAGAUGAGGAGGAAGAGGAAAAAGAUAUUCGUAGAGAACUGACUGCUUUGCACAAUUUUGUCUGUUUAGAUCACAUCUUUGGACACAAUUGCAGCUUGAGCUGCAAGGACUGAAUGAAUGGAGGACAGUGCCAGGAAGGAGUGAAUGCUCCUGCCCAGCAGGUUGGGGUGUCAUUCCUUGUAAUGAAAGUAAGUGACACCCUGAGAAUUGGGUAAGCACUCCAAACUACUCCUUUACAUAUAUUCUCCCCAAAAUGUUUUAAUAAAGUAAGCAAUUGAUAAGUACAAGAAGACAAUUUGUUGGGCAUAAAUAAUGCUUAUGAAGAGCUUAAGUUUUAAACUGAAUAUGUGAAUUAAAAAGGAGAUUUUGUGUUCCCUAGGAAACUCGACAUGCUGUCUCUUGUUUAUCCAUGGAAUGUAAAAGUUAAUAAAGGAUGCUAAUAUUCUAGGCCUAUAAAAAUCCCUCCAUUUAAAUAAAUCAUUAGGCCCUGACAAGCUAUUCCCAAUGAAGAAAAAA
Molecule: small RNA, 677 nt
Filed under: Pongo abelii (Sumatran orangutan)
Lineage: Eukaryota; Metazoa; Chordata; Mammalia; Primates; Hominidae
Description: processed transcript
Source: RNAcentral